CUGCCCUGUGACUUAGUUUAACGGCCGCGGUACCUUAACCGUGCAAAGGUAGCAAAUCAAUCGUCCUCUAAAUAAGGACUAGUAUGAAUGGCAUCACGAGGGCCUAACUGUCUCCCCCCUCUAAUCAAUGAAACUGAUCUUCUCGUGAAGAAGCGAGAAUAUUAAUAUAAGACGAGAAGACCCCAUGGAGCUUUAAACCCAUCACCACCUGCCCCCUUUUAUACCAAAACAUUUAGCAGAUCUGUUCACAGAUGGUUUUCGGCUGGGGUGGCCCUGGAGUAAAACAAAUCCUCCAGACUGAACGGAAUAAACCCCUAAUCCUAGAAUUACAAUUCAAAGAAUCAAAAUCUUGACACAAUUGACCCAAUAAUUUGAUCAACGAACCAAGUUACCCUGGGGAUAACAGCGCAAUCCAUUUCAAGAGCCCCUAUCGACAAAUGGGUUUACGACCUCGAUGUUGGAUCGGGGUAUCCUAGCGGCGCAGCCGUUGCUAAAGGUUCGUUUGUUCAACGAUUAAUAACCCCACGUGAUCUGAGUUCAGACCGGA
This 547-nucleotide ribosomal RNA is filed under the name Paracassina kounhiensis. RNAcentral describes it as "partial large subunit ribosomal RNA". It matches the Rfam family "Bacterial large subunit ribosomal RNA", at positions 1859 to 2620 of the family's 2925-position model. Lineage: Eukaryota; Metazoa; Chordata; Amphibia; Anura; Hyperoliidae. The record is from RNAcentral.